RNAcentral lists this ribosomal RNA (1532 nucleotides) under Kluyvera cryocrescens. Its description in RNAcentral is "bacterial SSU rRNA". It matches the Rfam family "Bacterial small subunit ribosomal RNA". The record is from RNAcentral. Lineage: Bacteria; Pseudomonadati; Pseudomonadota; Gammaproteobacteria; Enterobacterales; Enterobacteriaceae.
AGAGUUUGAUCAUGGCUCAGAUUGAACGCUGGCGGCAGGCCCUAACACAUGCAAGUCGAACGGUAGCACAGAGAGCUUGCUCUUGGGUGACGAGUGGCGGACGGGUGAGUAAUGUCUGGGAAACUGCCCGAUGGAGGGGGAUAACUACUGGAAACGGUAGCUAAUACCGCAUAACGUCGCAAGACCAAAGUGGGGGACCUUCGGGCCUCACACCAUCGGAUGUGCCCAGAUGGGAUUAGCUAGUAGGUGGGGUAAUGGCUCACCUAGGCGACGAUCCCUAGCUGGUCUGAGAGGAUGACCAGCCACACUGGAACUGAGACACGGUCCAGACUCCUACGGGAGGCAGCAGUGGGGGAAUAUUGCACAAUGGGCCGCAAGCCUGAUGCAGCCAUGCCGCGUGUAUGAAGAAGGCCUUCGGGUUGUAAAGUACUUUCAGCGAGGAGGAAGGGCAUUAAGGUUAAUAACCUUGGUGAUUGACGUUACUCGCAGAAGAAGCACCGGCUAACUCCGUGCCAGCAGCCGCGGUAAUACGGAGGGUGCAAGCGUUAAUCGGAAUUACUGGGCGUAAAGCGCACGCAGGCGGUCUGUCAAGUCGGAUGUGAAAUCCCCGGGCUCAACCUGGGAACUGCAUUCGAAACUGGCAGGCUAGAGUCUUGUAGAGGGGGGUAGAAUUCCAGGUGUAGCGGUGAAAUGCGUAGAGAUCUGGAGGAAUACCGGUGGCGAAGGCGGCCCCCUGGACAAAGACUGACGCUCAGGUGCGAAAGCGUGGGGAGCAAACAGGAUUAGAUACCCUGGUAGUCCACGCCGUAAACGAUGUCGACUUGGAGGUUGUGCCCUUGAGGCGUGGCUUCCGGAGCUAACGCGUUAAGUCGACCGCCUGGGGAGUACGGCCGCAAGGUUAAAACUCAAAUGAAUUGACGGGGCCCGCACAAGCGGUGGAGCAUGUGGUUUAAUUCGAUGCAACGCGAAAGAACCUUACCUACUCCUUGACAUCCAGAGAACUUAGCAGAGAUGCUUUGGUGCCUUCGGGAACUCUGAGACAGGUGCUGCAUGGCUGUCGUCAGCUCGUGUUGUGAAAUGUUGGGUUAAGUCCCGCAACGAGCGCAACCCUUAUCCUUUGUUGCCAGCGGUUCGGCCGGGAACUCAAAGGAGACUGCCAGUGAUAAACUGGAGGAAGGUGGGGAUGACGUCAAGUCAUCAUGGCCCUUACGAGUAGGGCUACACACGUGCUACAAUGGCAUAUACAAAGAGAAGCGACCUCGCGAGAGCAAGCGGACCUCAUAAAGUAUGUCGUAGUCCGGAUUGGAGUCUGCAACUCGACUCCAUGAAGUCGGAAUCGCUAGUAAUCGUAGAUCAGAAUGCUACGGUGAAUACGUUCCCGGGCCUUGUACACACCGCCCGUCACACCAUGGGAGUGGGUUGCAAAAGAAGUAGGUAGCUUAACCUUCGGGAGGGCGCUACCACUUUGUGAUUCAUGACUGGGGUGAAGUCGUAACAAGGUAACCGUAGGGGAACCUGCGGUUGGAUCACCU